Phrynosoma platyrhinos (Desert horned lizard) is the source of this 72-nucleotide non-coding RNA. The record is from the annotation of a GenBank genome assembly. Lineage: Eukaryota; Metazoa; Chordata; Lepidosauria; Squamata; Phrynosomatidae.
GUCAGCAUGAUGCAGUGGUUUGAGCAUUGGACUACAACUCUGGAGACCAAGGCUCAAAUCCUUGUUCUGUUC